GCAUAUCAAAAGCGGAGGAAAAGAAACCAACAGGGAUUGCCUCAGUAACGGCGAGUGAAGCGGCAAAAGCUCAAAUUUGAAACCCUCGGGAUUGUAAUUUGAAGAUUUGGCAUUGGAGAAAGCUAACCCAAGUUGCUUGGAAUAGUACGUCAUAGAGGGUGACAACCCCGUCUGGCUAACCGUUCUCCAUGUAUUGCCUUAUCAAAGAGUCGAGUUGUUUGGGAAUGCAGCUCAAAGUGGGUGGUAAACUCCAUCUAAAGCUAAAUACUGGUGAGAGACCGAUAGCGAACAAGUACUGUGAAGGAAAGGUGAAAAGAACUUUGAAAAGAGAGUGAAAUAGUAUGUGAAAUUGUUGAUAGGGAAGGAAAUGAGUGGAGAGUGGCCGAGGUUUCAGCCGCCCCUCGUGGGCGGUGUACUGCCGACGCCGAGUCAUCGAUAGCGAGACGAGGGUUACAAAUGGGAGCGCCUUUCGGGCGUUCUCCCCUAACCCUCCACACUGCCACCGACGACAUAAUCCACCCAUUUCACCCGUCUUGAAACACG
RNAcentral lists this ribosomal RNA (543 nucleotides) under Yarrowia lipolytica. RNAcentral describes it as "eukaryotic LSU rRNA". It matches the Rfam family "Eukaryotic large subunit ribosomal RNA", at positions 38 to 663 of the family's 3401-position model. Lineage: Eukaryota; Fungi; Ascomycota; Dipodascomycetes; Dipodascales. The record is from RNAcentral.